Sabethes cyaneus is the source of this 105-nucleotide small nuclear RNA. NCBI's taxonomy places the organism in Eukaryota, Metazoa, Arthropoda, Insecta, Diptera, Culicidae. The record is from RefSeq and is a predicted model, not a curated record.
CUUAGUUUCGGCUAGACAUAUACUGAAAUUGGAACGAUACAGAGAAGAUUACUAUGGUCCCUGCGCAAAAUGCCACCUAGCAUGAGUUACCUGGGAGGAACGUUU